Molecule: ribosomal RNA, 263 nt
Filed under: uncultured bacterium
Lineage: Bacteria
Description: partial 16S ribosomal RNA
Rfam family: Bacterial small subunit ribosomal RNA
Source: RNAcentral
GACGUAGGGGGCGAGCGUUGUCCGGAAUUACUGGGCGUAAAGAGCACGUAGGCGGAUAUUUAAGUCAGGUGUGAAAGACCGCAGCUUAACUGCGGGGUUGCAUUUGAAACUGGGUAUCUUGAGGGCAGGAGAGGGCAGUGGAAUUCCUGGUGUAGCGGUGAAAUGCGUAGAAAUCAGGAGGAACACCAGUGGCGAAGGCGGCUGUCUGGACUGACCCUGACGCUGAGGUGCGAAAGCGUGGGUAGCAAACAGGAUUAGAUACC